UGGCUCAGGAUGAACGCUAGCUACAGGCUUAACACAUGCAAGUCGAGGGGAAACGACAUCGAAAGCUUGCUUUUGAUGGGCGUCGACCGGCGCACGGGUGAGUAACGCGUAUCCAACCUGCCCACCACUUGGGGAUAACCUUGCGAAAGUAAGACUAAUACCCAAUGACGUCUCUAGAAGACAUCUGAAAGAGAUUAAAGAUUUAUCGGUGAUGGAUGGGGAUGCGUCUGAUUAGCUUGUUGGCGGGGUAACGGCCCACCAAGGCGACGAUCAGUAGGGGUUCUGAGAGGAAGGUCCCCCACAUUGGAACUGAGACACGGUCCAAACUCCUACGGGAGGCAGCAGUGAGGAAUAUUGGUCAAUGGACGAGAGUCUGAACCAGCCAAGUAGCGUGCAGGAUGACGGCCCUAUGGGUUGUAAACUGCUUUUAUAAGGGAAUAAAGUGAGUCUCGUGAGACUUUUUGCAUGUACCUUAUGAAUAAGGACCGGCUAAUUCCGUGCCAGCAGCCGCGGUAAUACGGAAGGUCCGGGCGUUAUCCGGAUUUAUUGGGUUUAAAGGGAGCGUAGGCCGGAGAUUAAGCGUGUUGUGAAAUGUAGACGCUCAACGUCUGCACUGCAGCGCGAACUGGUUUCCUUGAGUACGCACAAAGUGGGCGGAAUUCGUGGUGUAGCGGUGAAAUGCUUAGAUAUCACGAAGAACUCCGAUUGCGAAGGCAGCUCACUGGAGCGCAACUGACGCUGAAGCUCGAAAGUGCGGGUAUCGAACAGGAUUAGAUACCCUGGUAGUCCGCACGGUAAACGAUGGAUGCCCGCUGUUGGUCUGAAUAGGUCAGCGGCCAAGCGAAAGCAUUAAGCAUCCCACCUGGGGAGUACGCCGGCAA
Molecule: ribosomal RNA, 881 nt
Filed under: uncultured bacterium
Lineage: Bacteria
Description: bacterial SSU rRNA
Rfam family: Bacterial small subunit ribosomal RNA
Source: RNAcentral